This is a non-coding RNA of Prunus mume (Japanese apricot), 602 nucleotides long. The record is from RefSeq and is a predicted model, not a curated record. NCBI's taxonomy places the organism in Eukaryota, Viridiplantae, Streptophyta, Magnoliopsida, Rosales, Rosaceae.
CUUCGUUCUCUCUCAUCUCUCCCUUCCCUUUCUUUUCUUUUUCUGUUCACUCUUCACUCAUUCUCCAACCCUCCUGAUCUUCUCCUCAUCUUUUCUUCUCGUUUAUCUCCAAUGGUGGCUUGUUUUGCAGGGGAUGUGUGAUAUUGAGUAAUGAAGGUGGUGAUUCUAAUUGAAGUUGUGGUAAUUCAAUGCACAAGAGGUGUCUUUUUGAGCCUUUAAUUACUUCUAGGGACAUUUGAGAGAGCUUCAUAAAGCCAUUGUCAGCUUGGGCAGAUUCGUUAAGAGAGCUAAGGAAUUUUGAAUUUCUUCUUGAACCCAUCUAUGUACACUUGAGAUGGCAGAAUUAAAAUGAUGGGAGAUUGUGUUGGUUUUCUCUUACCAUCCCUCCCCGUACUUACACCUAUUUCUUAUCUUUCUUUUUUUCUGGUUUUUUGGUGUGGUUGUAAUUGUUUUAGUACCAUUUACACCCUCUUUUGGACAUGAAGCAUCACAUCCUCUCGUACGAUCAUGGAGCAUACUUUGUUUUGGACAGUCAAAGUAUCAAAUCUUCUCAAACUUCAUAGGAUUGACUUUGUAGGGUUAGUUCAAGACAAUAUAAAUGU